RNAcentral lists this RNase P RNA (423 nucleotides) under Exiguobacterium profundum. RNAcentral describes it as "RNase P RNA component class A". It matches the Rfam family "Bacterial RNase P class A". From Rfam's summary of the family: Ribonuclease P (RNase P) is a ubiquitous endoribonuclease, found in archaea, bacteria and eukarya as well as chloroplasts and mitochondria. Its best characterised activity is the generation of mature 5'-ends of tRNAs by cleaving the 5'-leader elements of precursor-tRNAs. The record is from RNAcentral. Lineage: Bacteria; Bacillati; Bacillota; Bacilli; Caryophanales.
GCGGAUGGCCGGACGGCCGCGGGCCGAAAGGUUCGAGGAAAGUCCGGACUCCAUGAGACAAGGGUGCCGGGUAACGCCCGGCGGGGGCAACCCCAGGGAAAGCGCCACAGAGAAGAGUCUGCCCGGUGCCGCGACCCUAUCGCGGGAAGCCGGGGUCAGGGUGAAACGGUGGGGUAAGAGCCCACCGCGGACCGGGCAACCGGGACGGCACGGCAAGCCCCACCCGGAGCAAUGCCGAAUAGGGGCCUCGCGCGGAAAGGUCCGGGUUCACAGCGCGCCGCGCUGCCGGAGACCUCCGCAGGGACGUCUCAGCCCGGAGGCCCGGGUUGGCAAGCUUGACCCGCCGGUAACGGCGGUGGCAGAGGAAUGGUCGUCAAGGGGGCAACCCCGGAACAGAAUCCGGCUUACAGGCCAUCCGCGCGG